CCUGACAAUGACAAUCCAGUCUCCUUCAAAUCAGAUAACUUUCUUUUCAUUGGCAAUAUAAUUGGCGUUUUACACUGAGACUCUGUAUCAAGGUUAAUCUUCGGCACAGAUUCUGAUAAAACUUCUGAUGCACUGGCAGGGGUAGAAGAAUGCUUUGAACUAUAUACUUUCCUGAUUGAUGAUACUUGUGAUUCAUGGGAUUGAGGCUGAUUUCUUGACUGAAAACCAAUAGCAGGUGAGAAGGCCAGUGCUUUCUUCUUUGCAGAUAUAGCAGAAUCAAAUUUCAAAUUAACAUCUUCAUUGCGUGCAGUAAACUUGGCUUUAUUGGAAAGAAAUCCACCAAGAACACGACCGCCAGGCCAUUGAAGUUGUAUUUGUGAAGUUUCUUGUGUGGAAGCUUGGUGUGCAAGGGACGAUGGUGCUGCCAACGAUGACAAAGGUGUCAAUUGAGCUUCCUUC
RNAcentral lists this long non-coding RNA (459 nucleotides) under Carica papaya (papaya). RNAcentral's name for it is "long non-coding RNA (CPAP_LNC005483)". The record is from RNAcentral. Lineage: Eukaryota; Viridiplantae; Streptophyta; Magnoliopsida; Brassicales; Caricaceae.